Molecule: ribosomal RNA, 468 nt
Filed under: uncultured bacterium
Lineage: Bacteria
Description: partial 16S ribosomal RNA
Rfam family: Bacterial small subunit ribosomal RNA
Source: RNAcentral
GAUGAACGCUGACAGAAUGCUUAACACAUGCAAGUCUACUUGAAUUUGGGUUUUUUAACUUAGAUUUGGGUGGCGGACGGGUGAGUAACGCGUAAAGAACUUGCCUCACAGCUAGGGACAACAUUUGGAAACGAAUGCUAAUACCUGAUAUUAUGAUUAUAAGGCAUCUUAGAAUUAUGAAAGCUAUAUGCGCUGUGAGAGAGCUUUGCGUCCCAUUAGCUAGUUGGAGAGGUAACGGCUCACCAAGGCGAUGAUGGGUAGCCGGCCUGAGAGGGUGAACGGCCACAAGGGGACUGAGACACGGCCCUUACUCCUACGGGAGGCAGCAGUGGGGAAUAUUGGACAAUGGACCAAGAGUCUGAUCCAGCAAUUCUGUGUGCACGAUGACGUUUUUCGGAAUGCAAAGUGCUUUCAGUUGGGAAGAAAAAAAUGACGGUACCAACAGAAGAAGUGACGGCUAAAUACGUG